This 497-nucleotide ribosomal RNA is filed under the name uncultured bacterium. RNAcentral's name for it is "partial 16S ribosomal RNA". It matches the Rfam family "Bacterial small subunit ribosomal RNA", at positions 28 to 507 of the family's 1533-position model. The record is from RNAcentral.
GAUGAACGCUGGCGGCGUGCCUAAUACAUGCAAGUCGAGCGAACGGACGAUAAUCUUGCUUCUCUGAUGUUAGCGGCUGACGGGUGAGUAACACGUGUAUAACCUACCUAUAUUUCUGGGAUAACUUCGUGAAACCGUUGCUAAUACCGUAUAAUAUUUUGAACCGCAUUGUUCAAAAGUUUAAGACGGUCUUUCUGUCACUUUUAGAUUUAUCCGCGCUGCAUUAGCUAGUUGUUAAGGUAACGGCUUACCAAGGCAACGAUGCAUAGACGACGUGAUAGGGUGAGCGGCGACACUGGAAGGGAGACACGGACAAGAGGACUAGGGGAGGAAGCAGAAGGGAAGGUGACGGAAUGGGCGAAAGCAUGACGGAGCAAGGCAGAGUGAGAGAAGAAGGUAUUAGGAUCGUAAAACUAUGUUAGUAGGGAAGAAAAUAUGUGGAAGUAAAUGUGAACAGAGUGACGGUACCUAAUAAGAAAGCAACGGCUAACUACGUG